Molecule: transfer RNA, 64 nt
Filed under: Elysia ornata (ornate elysia)
Lineage: Eukaryota; Metazoa; Mollusca; Gastropoda; Plakobranchidae
Description: tRNA-Asn
Source: RNAcentral
CAUGUCGAAGCUGAUAUCAGCAUUUAACUGUUAAUUAAAAGGUAGCCUGUAAAGGUCGAUAUGA